GCCAGAAUGGCAAGGUGAUUUGAGUGUUGGACUAUGACUCUGAAGGCCAGGGUUCAAUUCCCUACUUGGACA
Non-coding RNA from Phrynosoma platyrhinos (Desert horned lizard), 72 nucleotides. The record is from the annotation of a GenBank genome assembly. NCBI's taxonomy places the organism in Eukaryota, Metazoa, Chordata, Lepidosauria, Squamata, Phrynosomatidae.